UAUAUAUAUAUAUAUAUAUAUAUUAUAUAAACAAAAUGUACACAGCCAUGUAUCACCAUCACUGCUGGUGAUCCGAUGUAUAAAUCUGUUGUAGAGUUGUCACUGGUUCAGACGUACUUAUAUAUUCACAUAUAUAUAUUUAUAUAUAUAGAUAUAUCGAUUUAAACAUGCUUAGAAUUUUCCCAAACUUUACAUGGUGAAGGUGAAUGUUCAAAAUGAUGCAAAACGUGGUUUCUAACUCCAUUUAGUUAAAAUAUGUCAACGAAAGACUUGACUUAUAUUCAAACAAAUUCUUGUCGGAAUAUAACAUGCAUUUGGAAGGAGAAAAUUAGUAUAACAUGUAUAACUGAAGUGCUUAAACUGAUGAUAGGAUACUAAGUUUUCACGCGUUUAGUUAUAAUCUAGAGUGAACUGGAUAUAUAUGAAUUGUAUUAUAAACUAUCGUAUUGAUACUAUACCCCUCCAACCUCAGAAAAAAACAAUAUAUUUCCUUUUGAUUUAUAUGCCCGUUUUUGAAUCGCAUGCCUUGAUGUAGAAAAAUACCAAUUUACUUGACAAUACAUGUAUGUUGCGUAACAUGAAAAACAUGGAUGAAAUGUUGUCAAGGAAACAUCAACACCGAAAGAAAAAGAUGAUCCUAAGAAUAAUUAAAGAUAUUUCAUGAAAACGAACAUUGUUCAGUCUUCGAAUUGCUCCUUAUAUUCUAUGCAAACUUAGACAUUCUUCUUUUUAAUAAUUGGCCCUUGUACUGUUCAACUUUCAGAAACAUUAGACCUAAACAUGUUGUAGUGAUAAAAUUUGUACAUACUUUCAUUUAGAUUUUGCCGGAACACUCUAAUGAACUUAUCUAAUUAUUUUUCGUUAAUCCUUGAUACUCAUGUUUGAAAUAGUUAAAUAUAAGUCUUCUAUUUUAUUUCAAGUAGCAAAUGUAAUUACCCGAUGAAAUAAUAUUGCUGUUUUAGAAAAAAAAGCUACACAAAUUGUUAAACAUAUUCCUUGGCUUUUAAAUGUGUCUUAAGGUGGUACAAUGAAAUUGAUUUGAUAAAUAUUGUUUUAAGCUGCAGUUAUAUAGUUUUAAAUAUAUGUGUAAAAACGGCGAAUAUGUGUCCCCCUUUGACAAAACAUUAAGAAAUUUCAAAUAGACUUUAAUCUUACUUUUCAGAUGAUUUUUUUCAAGCUUAGAAUAUUUUGCUUUUAAUGUUAUCUUCAUAUAGAAAUAUCAGUAUACUUCAAAAACAUAAAGACCUGAAUAUAAACUGCAGAACAUAUGAAAAAUUAUGGCGAAAAUGAGCACCUCACUCUACCCAUCACCUUGAUUAAUAUUAAGUUGGCUCGUUUAAUUUUCAUGAAUGUUUUAAAAAUGUUUACUUUGUAACUUUGACAAAAAUAUGAAAAUUUCAAAAAAAUUGAACCAACCACUUUUCCAGAAAAAAUCAUUGGUUAUAUAGCAGUUUGACAAACACUAAUUUUAAUCAUUGGGAAGCUUAAUAUUUCCUUAAUAAUAACUUAACAACUUGAUUAAAACGUUUAACUGGUUUUACACGGUUAUCUCCCUGUAGUGUGAUGUACCACCUUAACAGACAAUAAAGCUGAUAUAUUGCAACUUUCAAACAUUUGAUCACACGAAUAUCACGUUUGGUUCCUCAGAGACACAUGUUUAAAUGAGACAUGUUUACCAUUAACAAUAUUACACAAAUCAUAUUUGUAAUUUGUAAUUUUAAGAUACAUGAUUCAAUUCAAUAUAACACUAUGGAAAAUUCGAAAUUGCCGACAGACAUUACAGCAUCAAUAUAUUUUAAUCGACCACCUUUAAAACUAUCAAGGCAAAUAGAUGAAAGCAACACACAAGGAUUGAUAAAUGAAGAUGUAAGACAAUUGCAAAAGUCAUUUAAACGUGUAAGAGUCUUUUGUUCAAAACUGCAACUUGUUAAUCAAUCACACAUAGCGCUUGAAUAAAAUGCAUGAUUGACGU
This is a long non-coding RNA of Mytilus californianus (California mussel), 1972 nucleotides long. RefSeq lists it as uncharacterized. The transcript is spliced from 2 exons. The record is from RefSeq and is a predicted model, not a curated record. NCBI's taxonomy places the organism in Eukaryota, Metazoa, Mollusca, Bivalvia, Mytilida, Mytilidae.